Molecule: ribosomal RNA, 603 nt
Filed under: uncultured Tuber
Lineage: Eukaryota; Fungi; Ascomycota; Pezizomycetes; Pezizales; Tuberaceae
Description: eukaryotic LSU rRNA
Rfam family: 5.8S ribosomal RNA (bases 188-341)
Source: RNAcentral
UGGAAGUAAAAGUCGUAACAAGGUUUCCGUAGGUGAACCUGCGGAAGGAUCAUUAACAAUUUAUGGGAUGUUCUACAGGACUCCCAAGUAAAACACAUUCCUGUGUGUUCUACUUUUUCUUUUUUUUAAGCUCUAUAUCAAUUUCUUGUCUGAGAAGGCAAUAUGCCAUAACCUUGAAAAAUGUUAAAACUUUCAACAACGGAUCUCUUGGCUCUCGCAUCGAUGAAGAACGCAGCGAAAUGCGAUAAGUAAUGUGAAUUGCAGAAUUCAGUGAAUCAUCGAAUCUUUGAACGCACAUUGCACCCUUUGGUAUUCCUUAGGGCAUGCCUGUUCGAGCGUCACUAACAAUAAUUUCACUGAUAAAUGUGGUAUUGGCCAAUGUGACUCUAGCACUUUGCUGUGCUGGUCUCACUAGGCUGAAAUGGAUAGGCCAGAGAAAGUACAACUUGGCAACAGACUCUCAGAGUGUUUUUGAACGCUAAACUAGUCUUGUCACAUGUUGAAAUCUGCGCUUAAGGACCCCCCUUUCAGUCCAAACUGAAGAUGUUGACCUCGGAUCAGGUAGGGAUACCCGCUGAACUUAAGCAUAUCAAUAAGCGGAGG